GACGAACGCUGGCGGCGUGCCUAAUACAUGCAAGUAGAACGCUGAAGGAGGAGCUUGCUUCUCUGGAUGAGUUGCGAACGGGUGAGUAACGCGUAGGUAACCUGCCUGGUAGCGGGGGAUAACUAUUGGAAACGAUAGCUAAUACCGCAUAAAAUUGAUUAUCGCAUGAUAAUCCAUUGAAAGGUGCAAAUGCAUCACUACCAGAUGGACCUGCGUUGUAUUAGCUAGUUGGUGGGGUAACGGCUCACCAAGGCGACGAUACAUAGCCGACCUGAGAGGGUGAUCGGCCACACUGGGACUGAGACACGGCCCAGACUCCUACGGGAGGCAGCAGUAGGGAAUCUUCGGCAAUGGACGGAAGUCUGACCGAGCAACGCCGCGUGAGUGAAGAAGGUUUUCGGAUCGUAAAGCUCUGUUGUAAGAGAAGAACGAGUGUGAGAGUGGAAAGUUCACA
RNAcentral lists this ribosomal RNA (454 nucleotides) under Streptococcus sp. oral taxon 071. RNAcentral describes it as "bacterial SSU rRNA". It matches the Rfam family "Bacterial small subunit ribosomal RNA", at positions 28 to 468 of the family's 1533-position model. The record is from RNAcentral. Lineage: Bacteria; Bacillati; Bacillota; Bacilli; Lactobacillales; Streptococcaceae.